CCUUAAUGGUGUAGGUAUAUUGGGCUCCGGAUCUGAUCUAAUCAAAUCUGACUCAGGUUCAGCUAUUGGUGUCGGUCCUUCUACCUGUUGAACUUCAUCAAGUUCAACCUUAGAGGCAACGGUUCCUUCACCAAGGAACUCCUUUUCUAAAAAGGUUGCCUUAAGGCUGACAAACAUCUUUUGUUCAUCAGCAUGGUAGAAAAAAUAUCUUUUGAUCUCUUUGGGGUACCCUAUGAAUGUACAUUUGUCAGACCUAGGUCCAAGUUUAUCUGUAACGAACCAUUUAACAUAGGUCGGGCACCCCC
RNAcentral lists this long non-coding RNA (305 nucleotides) under Elaeis guineensis (African oil palm). RNAcentral's name for it is "long non-coding RNA (EGUI_LNC069096)". Lineage: Eukaryota; Viridiplantae; Streptophyta; Magnoliopsida; Arecales; Arecaceae. The record is from RNAcentral.